AGUGAACGCUGGCGGUAGGCCUAACACAUGCAAGUCGAACGGCAGCACAGUAAGAGCUUGCUCUUACGGGUGGCGAGUGGCGGACGGGUGAGGAAUACAUCGGAAUCUACUUUUUCGUGGGGGAUAACGUAGGGAAACUUACGCUAAUACCGCAUACGACCUACGGGUGAAAGCAGGGGAUCUUCGGACCUUGCGCGAUUGAAUGAGCCGAUGUCGGAUUAGCUAGUUGGCGGGGUAAAGGCCCACCAAGGCGACGAUCUGUAGCUGGUCUGAGAGGAUGAUCAGCCACACUGGAACUGGGACACGGUCCAGACUCCUACGGGAGGCAGCAGUGGGGAAUAUUGGACAAUGGGCGCAAGCCUGAUCCAGCCAUACCGCGUGGGUGAAGAAGGCCUUCGGGUUGUAAAGCCCUUUUGUUGGGAAAGAAAAGCAGCAGGUUAAUACCCCGCUGUUCUGACGGUACCCAAAGAAUAAGCACCGGCUAACUUCGUG
RNAcentral lists this ribosomal RNA (492 nucleotides) under uncultured bacterium. Its description in RNAcentral is "partial 16S ribosomal RNA". It matches the Rfam family "Bacterial small subunit ribosomal RNA", at positions 29 to 507 of the family's 1533-position model. The record is from RNAcentral.